Molecule: ribosomal RNA, 264 nt
Filed under: uncultured bacterium
Lineage: Bacteria
Description: partial 16S ribosomal RNA
Rfam family: Bacterial small subunit ribosomal RNA
Source: RNAcentral
GUCCUUACUGUAAACUAUGUAUACUUGAUGUAACCGGACUCAACCCUGGUUGUGUCGUAGCUAACGCGAUAAGUAUACCGCCUGGGGGAGUACGCUCGCAAGGGUGAAACUCAAAAGAAUUGACGGGGACCCGCACAAGCAGUGGAGCAUGUGGUUUAAUUCGAUGCAACGCGAAGAACCUUACCCAGACUUGACAUACAGUAGACAGCGCUAGAAAUAGCGAUUUCCUUCGGGACUGCUGAACAGGUGCUGCAUGGCUGUCGU